UUGCGUGACGAAGCCCGUGCCAAAGUGGACAAUAAGGGCUGAGCGUUAAGCAACACGUCAAACGCCGGGUGAAUCCGGCGUGAGAGU
RNAcentral lists this small RNA (87 nucleotides) under Citrobacter amalonaticus. RNAcentral describes it as "sroD RNA". It matches the Rfam family "sroD RNA". From Rfam's summary of the family: This family consists of a number of bacterial sroD RNA genes of around 90 bases in length. sroD is found in several Enterobacterial species but its function is unknown. The record is from RNAcentral. Lineage: Bacteria; Pseudomonadati; Pseudomonadota; Gammaproteobacteria; Enterobacterales; Enterobacteriaceae.